CGACGGGGGGCGGGACUUCCUGUCUGCGGCUUUUCCUGGGCGAAGAAUGGCCGGAAACGGAGGGAAGGGAAGCCGCGGUUUGUUAUUUUAUUUAAUUUAUUUGUCGUUUAAUUUUAGUGAUCGUUUCCUUCUCGGUCGUUCGUGAACUGACCGUCCUGGCUGCGGGAUUCCGGGUUCCAUUUCACGUCUUUUAUUCCGAUGUUUGAAGCCCGGGCCUCUCGAUGGUUAAAUUGUUUCAUUUCCUUACAAAAAAGUGAUUUCUUUAGUUUAAAAACAUUUAAUUUGCAUUUUG
Molecule: non-coding RNA, 292 nt
Organism: Peromyscus maniculatus bairdii (prairie deer mouse)
Lineage: Eukaryota; Metazoa; Chordata; Mammalia; Rodentia; Cricetidae
Source: RefSeq, a predicted model, not a curated record